This 406-nucleotide ribosomal RNA is filed under the name uncultured bacterium. Its description in RNAcentral is "partial 16S ribosomal RNA". It matches the Rfam family "Bacterial small subunit ribosomal RNA", at positions 30 to 526 of the family's 1533-position model. The record is from RNAcentral.
AUUGAACGCUGGCGGCAGGCCUAACACAUGCAAGUCGAACGAGUGGCGGACGGGUGAGUAAUGUCUGGGAAACUGCCUGAUGGAGGGGGCUAACUCCUGGAAAAGGUAGCUAAUACCGCAUCCCAUCAGAUGUGCCCAUAUGGUAUUGGCUUGUUGGUGGGGUCACGGCUCACCCAGGCGACGAUCCCUAGCUGGUCUGAGAGGAUGACCAGCCAGACUGGAACUGAGACACGGUCCAGACUCCUACGGGAGGCAGAAGUGGGGAAUAUUGCACAAUGGGCGCAAGCCUGAUGCAGCCAUGACGCGUGUAUGAAGAAGGCCUUCGGGUUGUAAAGUACUUUCAGCGGGGAGGCGUUACCCGCAGAAGAAGCACCGGCUAACUCCGUGCCAGCAGCCGCGGUAAUUC